This 500-nucleotide ribosomal RNA is filed under the name Klebsiella quasipneumoniae subsp. similipneumoniae. Its description in RNAcentral is "bacterial SSU rRNA". It matches the Rfam family "Bacterial small subunit ribosomal RNA", at positions 113 to 609 of the family's 1533-position model. The record is from RNAcentral. Lineage: Bacteria; Pseudomonadati; Pseudomonadota; Gammaproteobacteria; Enterobacterales; Enterobacteriaceae.
AUGUCUGGGAAACUGCCUGAUGGAGGGGGAUAACUACUGGAAACGGUAGCUAAUACCGCAUAAUGUCGCAAGACCAAAGUGGGGGACCUUCGGGCCUCAUGCCAUCAGAUGUGCCCAGAUGGGAUUAGCUAGUAGGUGGGGUAACGGCUCACCUAGGCGACGAUCCCUAGCUGGUCUGAGAGGAUGACCAGCCACACUGGAACUGAGACACGGUCCAGACUCCUACGGGAGGCAGCAGUGGGGAAUAUUGCACAAUGGGCGCAAGCCUGAUGCAGCCAUGCCGCGUGUGUGAAGAAGGCCUUCGGGUUGUAAAGCACUUUCAGCGGGGAGGAAGGCGUUAAGGUUAAUAACCUUGGCGAUUGACGUUACCCGCAGAAGAAGCACCGGCUAACUCCGUGCCAGCAGCCGCGGUAAUACGGAGGGUGCAAGCGUUAAUCGGAAUUACUGGGCGUAAAGCGCACGCAGGCGGUCUGUCAAGUCGGAUGUGAAAUCCCCGGGCU